GGGGUUAGCUGUCUCUUGUAUAGCUUUUGAAGUUUACUUUUAAGUGAAAAGGCUUAAAUGAUCUUGGGGGACGAUAAGACCCUAUAAAACUUUACAGUUUCACUUUUGCUUUUGUGAAUUAAGGUUUAAAAUUAGACAUGAGUGGUCUGUUGUGUUGGGGCGACAAAGAUAAAACAAGUAACUGUCAGGAAAAAAAAAUAAAAAUAAUUAUAGUAGUUGAUCCUUUGGUUUAGAGAUUAAAAGAUUAAGUUACUUUAGGGAUAACAGCGUAAUUCUCUUUGAGAGUUCUUAUCGACAAGAGUAGUUGCGACCUCGAUGUUGAAUUAAGGGUUCUUUCAGGUGUAGCAG
Molecule: ribosomal RNA, 348 nt
Filed under: Plesionika quasigrandis
Lineage: Eukaryota; Metazoa; Arthropoda; Malacostraca; Decapoda; Pandalidae
Description: partial 16S ribosomal RNA
Rfam family: Bacterial large subunit ribosomal RNA
Source: RNAcentral